Molecule: ribosomal RNA, 495 nt
Filed under: uncultured Bacillota bacterium
Lineage: Bacteria; Bacillati; Bacillota
Description: bacterial SSU rRNA
Rfam family: Bacterial small subunit ribosomal RNA
Source: RNAcentral
AUGCAGCAACGCCGCGUGAGUGAUGACGGUCUUCGGAUUGUAAAGCUCUGUCUUCAGGGACGAUAAUGACGGUACCUGAGGAGGAAGCCACGGCUAACUACGUGCCAGCAGCCGCGGUAAUACGUAGGUGGCAAGCGUUGCCCGGAUUUACUGGGCGUAAAGGGAGCGUAGGUGGAUAUUUAAGUGGGAUGUGAAAUACUCGGGCUUAACCUGAGUGCUGCAUUCCAAACUGGAUAUCUAGAGUGCAGGAGAGGAAAGUAGAAUUCCUAGUGUAGCGGUGAAAUGCGUAGAGAUUAGGAAGAAUACCAGUGGCGAAGGCGACUUUCUGGACUGUAACUGACACUGAGGCUCGAAAGCGUGGGGAGCAAACAGGAUUAGAUACCCUGGUAGUCCACGCCGUAAACGAGGUGAAUACUAGGUGUAGGGGUUGUCAUGACCUCUGUGCCGCCGCUAACGCAUUAAGUAUUCCGCCUGGGGAGUACGGUCGCAAGAUUA